GUGGCCGGUAGGCCUAAUCCCCGGUUCACGAGGAAUUUUUCAUCAAAUCUUGGCAUGCCACAGCAGAACAGACCAAUAAAAAUAUGUUAUUCAGGAUGUCUGCAAUCCAGUAAAGCAUGGAAAACUGGGAAUAGUCUGAGAACUAUUGCAUGACUGGAAAACUAGAAAAAAUGUCAAGAAAGCGGUGAAGAGCUGCUGAAGUAAAAAUUCCCUAAAUAAGUUUACACAA
Molecule: long non-coding RNA, 229 nt
Organism: Ornithodoros turicata
Lineage: Eukaryota; Metazoa; Arthropoda; Arachnida; Ixodida; Argasidae
Exons: 3
Source: RefSeq, a predicted model, not a curated record